GAAACAAUUGAUCUUGAUGGAACAAUCUUGUUUUUAUAUAAAAUUUCAAGCUGGUGAUGACAUGUAUAAAAGAAAAAGUGCUGCAAGCAGUAAAUGCUGUUCAGUUUGCAUUCCAUUACAUCAACAUAUCUAAAUGAUCCUCUUUAGCCCAGUACUUCAAUAGGAUGUUGGAAAAGAAGACUUCCACUCUAAUAGGAUGAAAAAAUGAUCAUCUAUUUACAUCAUUCUGAUUUAAUUGCUUCACAAUCCACUAUAAAGAUUUGCUCUGACCCUAAUAUUUAAAAUUUUCUACUUUUUUUCCCACUUUUCUCUCACAUAAAUUAGGUGUUUCAUUCUUUUUCCUACUUAUUAUUUUAUUUACACCAUUCUGUGUUGAGCACAGAAAGGUGGAAGUAUAUAGCCCUGUUCUCUGUUUUUAAUGCUCUGUAUAUUUUUAUUUCCUUUUCUGUGGAAUCA
This 456-nucleotide long non-coding RNA is filed under the name Pan troglodytes (chimpanzee). RNAcentral's name for it is "lincRNA". Lineage: Eukaryota; Metazoa; Chordata; Mammalia; Primates; Hominidae. The record is from RNAcentral.